Molecule: ribosomal RNA, 414 nt
Filed under: uncultured microorganism
Description: bacterial SSU rRNA
Rfam family: Archaeal small subunit ribosomal RNA
Source: RNAcentral
CAGCCGCCGCGGUAAUACCGGCGGCCCGAGUGGCGGCCACUAUUAUUGGGCUUAAAGCGUCCGUAGCCGGGUUGGUUAGUCUCCCGGGAAAUCUGGCCGCUUAACGGUCAGAAUUCCGGGAGAUACUGCCAGCCUAGGGACCGGGAGAGGCCGAGGGUAUUCCCGGAGUAGGGGUGAAAUCCUAUAAUCCCGGGAGGACCACCUGUGGCGAAGGCGCUCGGCCGGAACGCGUCCGACGGUGAGGGACGAAGGCCAGGGGAGCAAACCGGAUUAGAUACCCGGGUAGUCCUGGCUGUAAACGAUGCGGACUUUGUGUCGGACAAGCUAUGAGCUUGUCCGGUGCCGGAGGGAAACCGUUAAGUCCGCCGCCUGGGGAGUACGCCCGCAAGGCUGAAACUUAAAGGAAUUGGCGGG